RNAcentral lists this ribosomal RNA (253 nucleotides) under uncultured bacterium. Its description in RNAcentral is "partial 16S ribosomal RNA". It matches the Rfam family "Bacterial small subunit ribosomal RNA", at positions 524 to 776 of the family's 1533-position model. The record is from RNAcentral.
UACAGAGGUCUCAAGCGUUGUUCGGAAUCACUGGGCUUAAAGGGUGCGUAGGCGGCGUAGUAAGUCGGGUGUGAAAUCCCCCAGCUUAACUGGGGAAUUGCGCCCGAAACUGUUGCGCUCGAGGGAGACAGAGGUGAGCGGAACUGAUGGUGGAGCGGUGAAAUGCGUUGAUAUCAUCAGGAACACCGGUGGCGAAAGCGGCUCACUGGGUCUCUUCUGACGCUCAGGCACGAAAGCUAGGGGAGCAAACGGG